RNAcentral lists this transfer RNA (79 nucleotides) under Klebsiella pneumoniae. Its description in RNAcentral is "tRNA-Lys". It matches the Rfam family "tRNA". From Rfam's summary of the family: Transfer RNA (tRNA) molecules are approximately 80 nucleotides in length. Their secondary structure includes four short double-helical elements and three loops (D, anti-codon, and T loops). The record is from RNAcentral. Lineage: Bacteria; Pseudomonadati; Pseudomonadota; Gammaproteobacteria; Enterobacterales; Enterobacteriaceae.
GGGUCGUUAGCUCAGUUUGGUAGAGCAGUUUGAACUUUUAAUCAAUUGGUCGCAGGUUCGAAUCCUGCACGACCCACCA